Molecule: ribosomal RNA, 253 nt
Filed under: uncultured bacterium
Lineage: Bacteria
Description: partial 16S ribosomal RNA
Rfam family: Bacterial small subunit ribosomal RNA
Source: RNAcentral
CACGUAGGGGACGAGCGUUGUCCGGAUUCAUUGGGCGUAAAGAGCGUGUAGGCGGCCCGGUAAGUCCGCUGUGAAAGUCGGGGGCUCAACCCUCGAAUGCCGGUGGAUACUGUCGGGCUAGAGUGCGGAAGAGGCGAGUGGAAUUCCUGGUGUAGCGGUGAAAUGCGCAGAUAUCAGGAGGAACACCGAUUGCGAAGGCAGCUCGCUGGGACGUCACUGACGCUGAGACGCGAAAGCGUGGGGAGCAAACAGG